UUAAAAAUAAGCUAAAAUAAGCUUUUGGGUUCAUACCCCAAACAAAAAAAACGAUCCUUUUUUUUAAA
This 68-nucleotide transfer RNA is filed under the name Papilio polytes (common Mormon). Its description in RNAcentral is "tRNA-Met". Lineage: Eukaryota; Metazoa; Arthropoda; Insecta; Lepidoptera; Papilionidae. The record is from RNAcentral.